Molecule: non-coding RNA, 1311 nt
Organism: Heterocephalus glaber (naked mole-rat)
Lineage: Eukaryota; Metazoa; Chordata; Mammalia; Rodentia; Bathyergidae
Source: RefSeq, a predicted model, not a curated record
CAGCUAUUAGCGGUGAUCUGCUCUGGAGUUUCUUUUCUAACUCAUUUCUUUGCUGUUCCCUCCUUUUCAAUGCUGUGGUAGCUGGCACUUCCUGUGAAGGUCCAAGUUAGACCUGGAAUGUUUCCUUCUCCUUGUCUUGAGCCAUCACUGUGCUCUACCAUGCCACAUAGCCUCUAGGUUGACUUCCCUUGGCCAAAGCCAAGUACAAAAGAGCCAAGGUAGCAUGCUACUAAGUUCUAUGCAUUUGACUCUGCUUGUUAGGACACAGUGCUAGCGAGGUCACAAUUGCAGAAACUUAGAACCUCUGGAAUCUUUCCAAUUUCCCUGAGCCUAUAGCCUUAAAAUCAGCCCUAGGCCCUAGUCCAGCACCCAGCAAAUGCAGGUCCUUGGCUAGAAGGAGGGCUGAGAAGAAACGCCAAUGAAUUAUCGUCCCACCUAGGUUAGAUAAAACCCAACUAAACACCAAUGUUACAAAUGAUUCAAUGAUUCAUCACCAAGCAACCCCCUGUUUUCUUUAGAUCACUCCUAAUAACAAGGUAUCAAGGUGGGAGAAAAACCUGAAGCUAAGCAAGUCAGAGAAAUUGCAAGUGAUUUCCUCGAUGAAAGGGAUUUUUCAAGCCGUCUGACUCCAGUACUCCUAUUGGGACCUAGUCGGAAGCUAUCAUGGUCUCAAGAAGGUUUUGAGCAGAGCCCGGGACAAGUGUGUGCUAUUCUGGCUUCACAGUGUGUUUAUGCUUUCACAUGCAGAAGUGACUGGACAACACGUCUUCAUUUUCAAAUGGUAUCAGGGCUGUCUUCAUCCCAGAACCAGUACUGCUCUUGAGCAUGCCUGCUUUGACGGUCACAGCUGCAUUGUCACUACCAGCUUCUACUCUGGAAAAGGUGCCUUAGCAGUUUGUGUCUCCUGGAGAUUUCAAGGGGGAAUGACAGGACUGUAGGAUACUUUCUUCACUGGUUUUAGGAAAACAGACACAGUUCCCAGCCCCAGGGUUGCAGAGCCUGAGGGUGAGGUCAGAAUCUGUACCUUACACACACUCUCUGAAGAAAUAGCAACCAGGAGAGCAAGUGCAGAUAAAUGACAUGCAUAAGCUGACUGAAAAUGCCAGAAGAGGAGGCAGUGAGGAAGAAAGGAUCAUGAAUGGAGGAGAGAGAGGAGGAGGCCAGGCUCUUCCCUACCCUUGAUGGCUCCAGAGACCAGAAGGCCACCAGAAGCCACGAAGGCCAAACAGACAGAAGAGAAUGUCCUAGAAAUACAGCAGCAGGGACAGGGCUUGCCUUGUGAGGUCCUCUCCAUCCUACCAAGUACAGCAG